This 292-nucleotide ribosomal RNA is filed under the name uncultured bacterium. RNAcentral describes it as "partial 16S ribosomal RNA". It matches the Rfam family "Bacterial small subunit ribosomal RNA", at positions 505 to 796 of the family's 1533-position model. The record is from RNAcentral.
GUUUCAGCAGCCGCGGUAAUACAGAGACCUCAAACGUUGUCCGGAUUUAUUGGGCGUAAAGGGUCCGCAGGUGGCUGUGUGCGUCAGUGGUCAAAGCAACGGGCUCAACCCGUUGACUGCCGCUGAUACGGCACAGCUAGAGCAUGGGAGAGGUAAGCGGAAUUGCCGGUGUAGUAGUAAAAUGCGUUCAUAUCGGCAAGAACACCAAAUGCGAAGGCAGCUUACUGGAACAUUGCUGACACUCAGGGACGAAAGCGUGGGGAGCGAAAGGGAUUAGAUACCCGAGUAGUCC